Long non-coding RNA from Symphalangus syndactylus (siamang), 406 nucleotides. RefSeq lists it as uncharacterized. The record is from RefSeq and is a predicted model, not a curated record. NCBI's taxonomy places the organism in Eukaryota, Metazoa, Chordata, Mammalia, Primates, Hylobatidae.
CCGCCGGCCCGCGCCGCCUACCUGCCGGGUACCGCUCGUUGACCGGCCAGCUGUCCACCUGCAGGGUGGCGUUGCCGCCGCUUCGAGUGAAGCGCACCACGUGGUAUUUGCCGUCGCUUACGAUGGCGUUGGGCUCGUCGAUGAUGGGCGAACUGAGGCUCAGACAGCUGCGGUGACUUGCACAAAGACAGCAAGGAAGUGGCAAAGUUGGGAUUCAAACCCAGACCAUCUACUGAAAGCCAUGCAGAGCUUCGCAUGAGGGAGAAGAGAGAGAAGGAGCAGCCCUCACUCACAGAGGACACAGGGAAACCCAGUCACACCCGCCACCCAGAAAGGCAACUGAAACAACUGCAAACACCACUCUAUGGGGAAAUACACAUCUAUAGAUAAACUCCAUCAGAAAUCA